Molecule: long non-coding RNA, 413 nt
Organism: Gorilla gorilla gorilla (western lowland gorilla)
Lineage: Eukaryota; Metazoa; Chordata; Mammalia; Primates; Hominidae
Exons: 5
Source: RefSeq, a predicted model, not a curated record
AGAUUAUUCACUUGAAAAUGAUCAUCAUGACUAAGAAUAAAGUACUUCUAGGCUGCUUGGAGAUGUGUACAGCAUGUUUGACUGUUUUUGGGGAACCGGUGUUACAUGAAGGUGCUGUUAACACUGGGAGUAGUGCUUUCUCUUAUUGAGCUCAGAACAAGGGAAAAAGAGUCAGCUGUAAUUAAGAAGCAAAGACUAAAUCUCAAUCCUCUGGGCGCUGACGGCAGUGUCUGAGGUAGCAGUCUGAAGUAUUCGUGCAUGACUGAAGAAACCUUAUGAUGGGGAAAGAUUUGAAGGCAGGGGGCAGUGGAUAAGUUCACGGGACUGGAUAGUGAUUGACUUUUGGGUGGCCUUCCUCAAAGCAUGGUCUGAAGACCACUGCAUCAGGAUCACCAGAGCCUCUUGUUGAAAAU